CGGAGAGUAGCGCAGCUUGGUAGCGCAUCUGCUUUGGGAGCAGAGGGUCGUAGGUUCGAAUCCUAUCUCUCCGA
RNAcentral lists this transfer RNA (74 nucleotides) under Bacteriovorax sp. BSW11_IV. It matches the Rfam family "tRNA". From Rfam's summary of the family: Transfer RNA (tRNA) molecules are approximately 80 nucleotides in length. Their secondary structure includes four short double-helical elements and three loops (D, anti-codon, and T loops). The record is from Rfam by way of RNAcentral. Lineage: Bacteria; Pseudomonadati; Bdellovibrionota; Bacteriovoracia; Bacteriovoracales; Bacteriovoracaceae.